AUUCUUUAUUGGUUUUAUAGUCAUGGUAAACUGCUCACUUGGAUAGUAGAUACAAGAAAAUAAAAACAAAGUGAGGAGAAGAAUCAUGCUUUGUUACAUAGACAUACUCAUAGAUAUGAAUACAGAUAGAUACACUUAUUGAUGUUUUGGAAAUAUUGCUGAAGAUGUAUAUCUUGUAUUACUGACACUGGCUUUUAACAUCAAAAUGAUAAAGCUCAACUUACCAUUCACAUAGAGAGAAGAAGAUUGGCCUUCCAGAUUUUAGCAAAGCUUUACUCAUUAUUGGAUACCUUAAACACCAAGAUUGUAAAUAGUAUUAAAGUACUCGUUAUUGAUGAAAUAUGAGAAGUCAAAAUUCUGGUAGUAAGCAUGACAGCUAGAUUGAUACUUUCUGUUCUCGCCAAAAGAGAAAGGAUGCUAACCUUUCCUUCGGACUGGUACCAGGGUUGUUGCAAUUAUCGUACUUUAAGUAGUCAAUUCCCUAAAUGCAGAACUAGGUAUGAGUGACUUGGACGAAAACUACUAAUAAUCUCUUGACUUUCUUUGCCCUAAGUAGAGGUAGAGAGUACCCAGGAUUCAAAAGUCUUUGCAUCUUGCUCUUCAUGGCCCAGGGAUCCAGGCAUUGUCUUGCUGCAUGUUUGAGUUCUGCAAAGAAGAAACAAACACGUGUAGUGUUAAUAAAUUGUCAAACGGCAUUCCACAUGUGUGGAUCUUCCUCACUAAAAGGCGAUUUUGUGUUGCAUAUAUGUCUUACCCAGCAUCUGAAUAUAUCCCUAGCUUGAGCCCCUUGCUGUGAACAUAAUCUGUUAAUGCUUUGAUACCUGAUGGAAAUGUCGAAGCCUUAGCAACCAAGUUUCCCUGCCACAGGUCAAAUUUCGUGAAAAAAAAAGUCCAGGAAAGGAAAAGUGUAAACUCAUGAAUCAAGUCUGACUGACUGAGGAAACAGGUGGCUGACAAGGAACAUAAGUAUAGUACCUCAGAGUCUCUGUUUAGCUCACCCCAGCAGUCAUCUGGGAAGCAAGUAGACGGAGAAAAAUGAAAGGAUCAGAUGCUUGUAUAUGAUUCCAAUAUUGUAUAACCUGGAAGCAGCAUUACUGGUUCCGUUAAAAAAAAAACACUUGCCUAUGUUUAUAUAUUGAUAUCCCAAUGAUGAAAGUCCAGUUGAUAUCAUGGCAUCAGCUGUAACAAAUAUUAUUUAGUAAAUAUUUGAUUUACUUUUCUAUUUAUACUAUGGCAGGUAGUCUAGCUGGAGUUAGUAUGUUCUUACAUUAACCUGAAGUUCUCACCUGUUUCCUUGAUCAACUUUUCGUCGAUGUGGCAGUGGAAAUGGUUCCAGCUAUUCCAUCUGUUACUUUUUCACAGGAACAUGUCGUUUACUCAAGGAGGAGUUCUCCCGAGUCCAUUUUCCACAAGGUAUUUUUGGACCUCAUAUCUCAGAGUCAGAUUUACUACGCUUCUCCUGGAAAUUUGAUGGGCAGAAGCUGCAGUUGAAAGCAGCAAGAUGCACGUAGCAGCAAUGAUCACUCGACCUCCUGAAUUGGCCAUAAAGCCACUCGCUGAUCCGAACAUGAAUUUACUAAUUUGUGAUUGUUGUUCAACUCCAACUUGAUGCUGGGACUUAAGAAUCAGUGAGCAGAGGCUGCAUUUAUGGGGAGAUGAGAUGACCACCGAUCAAGCAGCUCAGCUGAAGCUGGUAACCAAUCAAAACCCAAUUUAAUACAAUUGCUUGGUUGUUCUUUUGCACCUAUCUCCAUGUUGUUGUCUUCAUUUCCUUGAAAAUGAGUGCUUCUUCUGUCUCUCUUCCUCUCUCUGACUCUUUCUCCCUCACAUGCCUGAUAAUCUUCACACGUAAAUCCCUGCAUGGAAGAUUUGAUUAGUGCCCUUCUCGUUUUUAUUUCUUUCUUGAUUAAUAAUUGCGAUUUGAAGACAAUUCUGUCCUGAUAUGGGAUCGAGAAAUUUUGGGUCACCUCGGUUGAAAGAGAAGCUUUUCAUACAUGAACUUAUCUGAUGAAUCGGCUGAGCUUUUGAUUCUAAGUUUUUCCCUGUUCAAACAUGACAUGACGUUUAGGCUCCAGACUUGCAUAGUAAACAUAUUUCUGCAUGGUCCUAGGGAACAGCUGUUGUUCAUCAUCAUCAUCGUCAUCAUCAUUGACUUUCCGUGUAUUUUUCUUGGUCCUAUUUUCGGAAGAUGUGUGAAAUUGUUCAUCCUUUAGACAAGAAACAAUAGGCUAAGGAAACAUUCCUUUUUUAACGAUUUAGAUUUCCGAUGAUCAAAGUUUUGCGAAAGUUCUUCUAUCCAUGAUAUAGACCGUUUGUGAACCCCUCAUAGACAGUCGGUUAACCUCUGGAUCUGUUCGAUCAUAGGCCCCACGUUAAUAUCAGCCCAUGAAGUGACCGUUAACUCAUUCCAUGUCAGUCGAGAUGUCCCGAGGAGUUUAUGACCAGUCCAUGAACCCAUCAGGGCUGUGAGUCAUGGGCCCCAGAUCGAUCGAGUGGCCCUCCUCAGGGCUGCAGGUCAUCAGCCCCACAUCGGUCUAGCAGUCCCGGGGGAAUCAUGGACGGUCACUGUAAAGUUUCCGUUAAUUGUGUACGGUCACUUUUGUAUGAUUCACGAAACAAGAUCGUUCAUCAAUCAUGAAUCCUGGAAUUCAACAGAGUACGUGCUUUUGAAUCUUCAGAGAUUGGACGGAUAAAGGAUGAUGAGCCACUGAUGUUUUCGUGCUUUCUUGUCAGUUAAAUACAAUUUACCGCUUUCUUAUCA
Molecule: non-coding RNA, 2761 nt
Organism: Punica granatum (pomegranate)
Lineage: Eukaryota; Viridiplantae; Streptophyta; Magnoliopsida; Myrtales; Lythraceae
Source: RefSeq, a predicted model, not a curated record